Molecule: long non-coding RNA, 200 nt
Organism: Nematostella vectensis (starlet sea anemone)
Lineage: Eukaryota; Metazoa; Cnidaria; Anthozoa; Actiniaria; Edwardsiidae
Exons: 2
Source: RefSeq, a predicted model, not a curated record
CCAGUUUGAUAGAUCAUAUUUCAAAACCACCUCGUGCAAGUUUUCGAAGCAAUGGAGUGAUAACAUGGACGACGAUAUUGACCAUGGCAAAGAAGAUGAAGAUAAGUAAAUAUAUAAGGAUGGACAGAGAGAUCAUUGAAUUUUCUCCUUUGUAUUCCACUGUUAGUGAUAAAAAACUUAAUACUAUUCUUUUUUUUUAA